CAGUAGCCGCGGUAACACGGAGGGUGCAAGCGUUAAUCGGAAUUACUGGGCGUAAAGCGCACGCAGGCGGUCUGUCAGGUCAGAUGUGAAAUCCCCGGGCUUAACCUGGGAACUGCAUUUGAAACUGGCAGGCUAGAGUCUUGUAGAGGGGGGUAGAAUUCCAGGUGUAGCGGUGAAAUGCGUAGAGAUCUGGAGGAAUACCGGUGGCGAAGGCGGCCCCCUGGACAAAGACUGACGCUCAGGUGCGAAAGCGUGGGGAGCAAACAGGAUUAGAUACCCGUGUAGUCCCUGUCUCUUAUAA
RNAcentral lists this ribosomal RNA (301 nucleotides) under uncultured bacterium. RNAcentral describes it as "partial 16S ribosomal RNA". It matches the Rfam family "Bacterial small subunit ribosomal RNA", at positions 509 to 809 of the family's 1533-position model. The record is from RNAcentral.